This 468-nucleotide ribosomal RNA is filed under the name uncultured bacterium. Its description in RNAcentral is "bacterial SSU rRNA". It matches the Rfam family "Bacterial small subunit ribosomal RNA", at positions 30 to 533 of the family's 1533-position model. The record is from RNAcentral.
AUUGAACGCUGGCGGUAUGCUUAAGACAUGCAAGUCGAACGGUAACAGGUUAAGCUGACGAGUGGCGGACGAGUGAGUAACGCGUGGGAAUCUACCUUGUAGUGGGGGAUAAGCCAGGGAAACUUGGACUAAUACCGCAUACGCCCUAAGGGGGAAAGGCGCAAGUCGCUAUAAGAUGAGCCCGCGUCUGAUUAGGUAGUUGGUGGGGUAAAGGCCUACCAAGCCGACGAUCAGUAGCUGGUCUGAGAGGAUGAUCAGCCACGUCGGGACUGAGACACGGCCCGGACUCCUACGGGAGGCAGCAGUCGGGAAUAUUGGACAAUGGGGGAAACCCUGAUCCAGCAAUACCGCGUGUGUGAAGAAGGCCUGCGGGUUGUAAAGCACUUUUCAGUUGGGAAGAUAAUGACGUUACCAACAGAAGAAGCACCGGCUAACUCCGUGCCAGCAGCCGCGGUAAGGCGUAUGUGU